RNAcentral lists this long non-coding RNA (214 nucleotides) under Lathyrus oleraceus (garden pea). Its description in RNAcentral is "Pisum sativum (pea) long non-coding RNA (PSAT_LNC010268)". The record is from RNAcentral. Lineage: Eukaryota; Viridiplantae; Streptophyta; Magnoliopsida; Fabales; Fabaceae.
UCAGGUAAUGUAUAAACUCGAUCUUACUUUUUUAUCGGUUUAAUUUUUAAGUGUGUUGUAAAUAUAACUUGUUGUGUUAUUUAUUUUCUUCAUAUGGCUUACUCUUGGGCCUUCUUACAAUGAGACAGUUCUCUCUCACUUACACUCAUACAUUGCAUUAUUUAUUGUUUGGGCCCGAUUUAAUUAUUCUAGUACUUUGAAUCCCCAUUUGACA